Salarias fasciatus (jewelled blenny) is the source of this 942-nucleotide long non-coding RNA. RefSeq lists it as uncharacterized. Lineage: Eukaryota; Metazoa; Chordata; Actinopteri; Blenniiformes; Blenniidae. The transcript is spliced from 4 exons. The record is from RefSeq and is a predicted model, not a curated record.
GAGAGAGAGAGAGGGGCUGUUCAGACAGCGGAGCAGGAAAAUGCCGAAGGUUAAGUGCAGCUUCACAGAUGAACUGCAAAAAAAAUUAAUAAAAAAUCCCACAUGCUGAGAGGAAAAAUAGAAUGUAGAAGAAAAGCAGGAUGAAGAAGACAAUUAAAGAUGAAAAUCAGAUGGAGCAGAGAUCCUGGAGACACAGAGACUUGUGAAGUGAAGUGCGCCACAAGCUGGAGGAGCGAACUUCUCUCCACCAGAGGAGCAGAAUGUUUUUUAAAGGAGACGCAGCUCGCUGCUCCGGAGGACUGCUGACUGCAGUCAAGCCAGACGACACGUUGUUGAGCGGGGCGCACAUAUUCUACUCAUUACGGUGGGCGUAUGUUUCUGGUGAGUGGGGUGUGGACUGGUGCAGGGAAGCUGCUGAUUACUUGAGUGCUUCCACCUGAAAUUGGGCCUGGUCUUCACCAAACAAUUCAUCACCCUAUAAAGCUCCCUCAGACCACAGUGCAGCGUUGGAUCGUAAUAUCACCACAGAACCACUCGCUGCCCCGCCUUGGAUGACAUCUCUGAGCCUCCUCUGCUUCGCUCCGACUCCGCUGGAAAGGUUCCCCGGACCUCACCCCUCUGGGCUGCUGCGCCAGGACUUCCACACAAUCUCCCCUCUGGCUGAGCAUCCACGAACCCUCUUCCUUCACGCUUCAUCCGCAGUAGCUCUUUCCCUCGCUGGAUUGCCGAGGUGGGUCUUUGGGUUUAGUUGUUAGCUCCUUGGUUCCUCAGUCCCGGUUUGGUUAUGACUGAUUAGGUUACGGCUCAGUCCUUGUUUUGUUCACGGCUUGUCAGAAGGCUUGGAGUCCUGUUCUGUUCUUAUGAAGCGCCGCCGUGAUUUUCAAGAGUAGCGGGAUUAGUUUGGGUUUGGUAUUGAUUCCUCUGUAAAUAAAAUAAUUGUUC